AUUGAACGCUGGCGGCAGGCCUAACACAUGCAAGUCGAGCGGGGUUUUCGGACCUAGCGGCGGACGGGUGAGUAAUGCGUAGGAAGCUGCCCGAUAGAGGGGGAUACCAGUUGGAAACGACUGUUAAUACCGCAUAAUGUCUACGGACCAAAGUGUGGGACCUUCGGGCCACAUGCUAUCGGAUGCGCCUACGUGGGAUUAGCUAGUUGGUGAGGUAAUGGCUCACCAAGGCGACGAUCUCUAGCUGGUUUGAGAGGAUGAUCAGCCACACUGGAACUGGGACACGGUCCAGACUCCUACGGGAGGCAGCAGUGGGGAAUAUUGGACAAUGGGCGCAAGCCUGAUCCAGCCAUGCCGCGUGUGUGAAGAAGGCCUUCGGGUUGUAAAGCACUUUCAGCGAGGAGGAAGGGUGGUGUGUUAAUAGCACAUCAUUUUGACGUUACUCGCAGAAGAAGCACCGGCUAACUCUGUGCCAGCAGCCGCCGUAA
This 488-nucleotide ribosomal RNA is filed under the name uncultured bacterium. RNAcentral describes it as "partial 16S ribosomal RNA". It matches the Rfam family "Bacterial small subunit ribosomal RNA", at positions 30 to 523 of the family's 1533-position model. The record is from RNAcentral.